RNAcentral lists this ribosomal RNA (553 nucleotides) under uncultured bacterium. RNAcentral's name for it is "bacterial SSU rRNA". It matches the Rfam family "Bacterial small subunit ribosomal RNA", at positions 240 to 807 of the family's 1533-position model. The record is from RNAcentral.
AUUAGCUAGUUGGUGAGGUAACGGCCCACCAAGGCGACGAUCAGUAGCCGGACUGAGAGGUUGAACGGCCACAUUGGGACUGAGAUACGGCCCAGACUCCUACGGGAGGCAGCAGUGAAGAAUAUUGCACAAUGGAGGAAACUCUGAUGCAGCAACGCCGCGUGAAGGAUGAAGGUUUUCGGAUUGUAAACUUCUUUUGUCGGGGACGAAAAAAAUGACGGUACCUGACGAAUAAGCCACGGCUAACUACGUGCCAGCAGCCGCGGUAAUACGUAGGUGGCAAGCGUUAUCCGGAUUUACUGGGUGUAAAGGGCGAGUAGGCGGGAUCAUAGGUCAGAUGUGAAAUCUGGGGGCUCAACCCCCAAACUGCAUUUGAAACUAUGAUUCUUGAGUGAUGGAGAGGCAGGCGGAAUUCCCGGUGUAGCGGUGGAAUGCGUAGAGAUCGGGAGGAACACCAGUGGCGAAGGCGGCCUGCUGGACAUUAACUGACGCUGAGGAGCGAAAGCGUGGGGAGCAAACAGGAUUAGAUACCCUGGUAGUCCACGCUGUAAAC